GCACAAUUUAUUGUUUUUAAUUACAUGAGUUAAAUGGAUGCGUUUUACUGUAUGUAGGUUAUACCUCAAUAACAUUGACUAAAAUAACAUAUUUGUCUACCUGGAUGGAGAUUUUUUAAUAAUAGAUUCAUGGAAAGGACUGAGUCCAUUGCCUGGCUUGUAGAAAAAAUUAAGUUUAUUCAGUAUUUUCCCAUUGAUGUUAUAGAGUCUGAAUGUUAUGAAUGAGAGAUUGAUAAAUUAUUGAGGUGCACAUGCACUUUGUGAUACACGCUAUCAUACCUCCCUAAGAGAAAACAGAUGUUCUUUCCAGUUACUAAUGAUUUUGGAAGUCUUAGAUGCAACUCUUCCCCUAAGAAAGAAUUUAACCCAGACUGUUGAUUUUAAUUUUGAGACAGUACUUCUUUGGUUCUAAAAUUAAGGAGAAACUCUUUUCCUCUUCAAUGUGAUGACUGUCUUCAACUAUGUAGGAAGAAAUUAUGUUGAUGCCACUUUCUGGUAACUUGGAAAGUAAUACAAUGCAUUGGAUGCCUUCUAGAAUCAAGAAGAAAUGUGACAUUCUCUCCUUUUGUACAAAGGUAAAAGCUUCGCCAAGUAUUUCAUGAUGCCACUAGAAGCCCUCUUGGAGACACGGAUCUUACAACAUGACCCGGGACCUCCUUUUCAUAAAAUGCUAGCAGAAAAAUAUGUCACCAGAGUGCCCAGGUAUGAUAUGUCCUCAAAUCUUCAAUGUGAAGAGACACUGGAAAUUAGGUAAGCGCUGAUUUGCAUUAAGCAUGAGAAAUUACAUGAUAACACUGUCUUCUUUAAUUAAAUCUACCACCGUAAGCCAAGUUUACUUUUAAACAAGUUCUCAAAUCUCAAUAGCAUUUAUAAGAACUUGCAGUAAGUCAAAAAACAUACCUCAAAAAACACAUUAGGCCUAACUUGGGAGACGAAGGACAUAAUGUUCAGGCAGCGCUAGGCCCAAUCUCCAGGCCACUGUUGUGGAUCUUUAUUAAAAAAUGAGGUCAGGGGCGCCUGGGUGGCUCAGUCGGUUAAGCGGCCAACUUCGGCUCAGGUCAUGAUCUCGCGGUCUGUGAGUUCAAGCCCCACGUCGAGCUCUGUGCUCACAGCUCAGAGCCUGGAGCCUGUUUCAGAUUCUGUGUCUCCCUCUCUCUGACCCUCCCCCGUUCAUGCUCUGUCUCUCUGUCUCAAAAAUAAAUAAAUGUUAAAAAAAAAAAUUUUUUUUUAA
Molecule: long non-coding RNA, 1231 nt
Filed under: Felis catus (domestic cat)
Lineage: Eukaryota; Metazoa; Chordata; Mammalia; Carnivora; Felidae
Description: lncRNA (ENSFCAG00000049875.1)
Source: RNAcentral